GAUGAACGCUGGCGGCGUGCCUAAUACAUGCAAGUCGAGCGAACAGACGAGGAGCUUGCUCCUCUGACGUUAGCGGUGGACGGGUGAGUAACACGUGGAUAACCUACCUAUAAGACUGGGAUAACUUCGGGAAACCGGAGCUAAUACCGGAUAAUAUAUUGAACCGCAAGGUUCAAUAGUGAAAGACGGUUUUGCUGUCACUUAUAGAUGGAUCCGCGCCGCAUUAGCUAGUUGGUAAGGUAACGGCUUACCAAGGCAACGAUGCGUAGCCGACCUGAGAGGGGGAUCGGCCACACUGGAACUGAGACACGGUCCAGACUCCUACGGGAGGCAGCAGUAGGGAAUCUUCCGCAAUGGGCGAAAGCCUGACGGAGCAACGCCGCGUGAGUGAUGAAGGUCUUCGGAUCGUAAAACUCUGUUAUUAGGGAAGAACAAAUGUGUAAGUAACUAUGCACGUCUUGACGGUACCUAAUCAGAAAGCCACGGCUAACUACGUG
Molecule: ribosomal RNA, 497 nt
Filed under: uncultured bacterium
Lineage: Bacteria
Description: partial 16S ribosomal RNA
Rfam family: Bacterial small subunit ribosomal RNA
Source: RNAcentral